RNAcentral lists this long non-coding RNA (810 nucleotides) under Erythranthe guttata (spotted monkey flower). RNAcentral's name for it is "long non-coding RNA (EGUT_LNC002438)". Lineage: Eukaryota; Viridiplantae; Streptophyta; Magnoliopsida; Lamiales; Phrymaceae. The record is from RNAcentral.
GACCAUAAAUAUCUCGUGAAAUUGAAACGGCCACGUGGCCGUUCACCCUAUCGCAUGAUGCGGUUUCCUCCCCCAAAUUAUCUCACGUUCGGCAGCCGGUUGUAGCAGUUAGCCGGUUCUCUUCGCCUAUCAUGCAUGUAUAUCUAUCUCCAAGAUCCAUCCCCCCUGUCAAACUUUCUAAUGUAUAAAAAGCUGUACGUAUAAACAGUACUUUCAAAUUGAACGGAAAAAAAGAAAAAAUUGAGCAGAGAGUGGUAUACUUUGUGCUGUAAAGAUUGUACGUACGCACAUGAGUAGGGUGGCGUACCAGGCGGGGAUGAGGGUGAUGCAGGGGAUAAAAGACCCGGCUUCAAAACGUGAUACCAACAUCAAAACGCUAAAGGACUCAUACGCAUACAGUUCUUCUUCUAGGCAGGCGAGGAAAUUAUCUGCUGCAAUCGAGUCCACCGGAUUGAAGGCUGAUAAGUUGAAACAGGCUGAAGAGUCCCUCCGUACAGUCAUGUACUUGAGCUGUUGGGGUCCUAAUUGACAUUUCCUUUAUAUUUCAUAUGUAAAUAUAUACAUAAUAUAUAUAGUUUUUAUUUCCUGUUAAAUAUUGUUCCCUCUUUUUUUCUGGGUUAGUGUAUAUUUGAGCUCCUUUUGUUUUGUAUGGGGAAGUAUAUAUGUGGAUGUAUGUACGCUUUGCAACAAGAAUAAAUUUGCUGAGUACAGAUGAUGUGUUUAUAUUUAUUCUGUUUUGUUGAUGAAUUGAGGUGUAUAUAUACUCAGAUUGAACAAAUUAGAUGAUGUGUAGUGUGUUUAGUAUGAGGA